CAUUUCUCUAGCUAAGUCUAGAUCCUUCCAAUGGAAGAUUCUAGACCCACCUUGACUUCUCUUGUAUAUUCUACUAGGUGUAGAGAUUUGUAGAGAUUUGUAGAACUCUCUAGAGCUUUGAUCUUAGCCAUUGAUAAGAAUAGAUCUUAGCCGUUGAUUUGGGACUCUAGCAACUAUAAAUAGGCUAGAGGCAUUUGGCAUUUACAUCCAAGAAACACUCAAGCAAUCCAACACUUGUAUAAAGCAUUCUCUUGUUUAAUACAAAGCAUUCUUGCAAGCUUCUC
Molecule: long non-coding RNA, 284 nt
Filed under: Nicotiana benthamiana
Lineage: Eukaryota; Viridiplantae; Streptophyta; Magnoliopsida; Solanales; Solanaceae
Description: long non-coding RNA (NBEN_LNC038223)
Source: RNAcentral